RNAcentral lists this transfer RNA (81 nucleotides) under Felis catus (domestic cat). It matches the Rfam family "tRNA". Rfam says of the family: Transfer RNA (tRNA) molecules are approximately 80 nucleotides in length. Their secondary structure includes four short double-helical elements and three loops (D, anti-codon, and T loops). The record is from Rfam by way of RNAcentral. RNAcentral also lists the same sequence under 1 other name. Lineage: Eukaryota; Metazoa; Chordata; Mammalia; Carnivora; Felidae.
GCUCAGUUGGUUAAGUGUCCAACCCGAUUUCGGCUCAGGUCAUGAUCUUGUGGGUCGUGGGUUCAAGUCCCACACUGGGCG